AGUGAACGCUGGCGGUAGGCCUAACACAUGCAAGUCGAACGGCAGCACAGUAAGAGCUUGCUCUUACGGGUGGCGAGUGGCGGACGGGUGAGGAAUACAUCGGAAUCUACUUUUUCGUGGGGGAUAACGUAGGGAAACUUACGCUAAUACCGCAUACGACCUACGGGUGAAAGCAGGGGAUCUUCGGACCUUGCGCGAUUGAAUAAGCCGAUGUCGGAUUAGCUAUUUGGCGGGGUAAAGGCCCACCAAGGCGACGGUCCGUAGCUGGUCUGAGAGGAUGAGCGGACAGACUGGGGAGGAGAUACGGCCCAGACUUCUACGGGAGGAAGACGUAGGGAAUGGUCGGGAAAGGACGGAAGUCGGACAGAGCAACGCGGCGGGAGUGAAGAAGGGUGUCGGAUCGUAAAGCUCUGUGGUCAGAGAAGAACGAGGGUGAGAGUGGAAAGUUCACACCGGGAAGGUAGAUUACCAGAAAGGGACGGCUUAGUACGUG
This 493-nucleotide ribosomal RNA is filed under the name uncultured bacterium. Its description in RNAcentral is "partial 16S ribosomal RNA". It matches the Rfam family "Bacterial small subunit ribosomal RNA", at positions 30 to 507 of the family's 1533-position model. The record is from RNAcentral.